UCUUAUGCAUAAUACAAUCAUCUAGAACUACAUCACCCCACAGAGGGAUGCUACACAAACCAACAAUUACACAUCUACCACAACCAUAAUUAUGUUUCCCAAAACGCCCUUACACAUUCAUCAAAACCUUGCACCAAAUCUUAUGGGUUUAGCUAGUUGUAGAUUCUAACAGGUUUCUCAAAUGUGUUACCUGAUUCGCAGCAUAUGACCGUUUAGAUGUAUUGUCAGAGUGCUCCACUCCUAGGUACUGUUCCCAAGCACCAUAA
Molecule: long non-coding RNA, 266 nt
Filed under: Helianthus annuus (common sunflower)
Lineage: Eukaryota; Viridiplantae; Streptophyta; Magnoliopsida; Asterales; Asteraceae
Description: sRNA HanXRQr2_Chr11g0467881
Source: RNAcentral